GGAUUAGAUACCCUGGUAGUCCAUGCUGUAAACGAUGAGUGCUAAGUUUUUGGGUUUGAUGCCUGAGAGCUACAGCUAACGCGUAAGCACUCCGCCUGGGAAGUACGAUCGCAAGAUUAAAACUCAAACGGAAUUGACGGGGACCCGCACAAGCGGUGGAACAUGCUGUUUAAUUCGAUACUAACCGAAAAACCUUACCAUUUUUUGCAUAUUACUUGUAAGCUCGGUGCAGAAAUGACGAGUGUGAGCAAUCUAGGUAAUACAGGUGGUGCAUGGCUGUCGUCAGCUCGUGCCG
Molecule: ribosomal RNA, 295 nt
Filed under: uncultured bacterium
Lineage: Bacteria
Description: partial 16S ribosomal RNA
Rfam family: Bacterial small subunit ribosomal RNA
Source: RNAcentral